UGGGGAAUAUUGCACAAUGGGCGCAAGCCUGAUGCAGCCAUGCCGCGUGUGUGAAGAAGGCCUUCGGGUUGUAAAGCACUUUCAGCGAGGAGGAAGGUGGUGGACUUAAUACGUUCAUCAAUUGACGUUACUCGCAGAAGAAGCACCGGCUAACUCCGUGCCAGCAGCCGCGGUAAUACGGAGGGUGCAAGCGUUAAUCGGAAUUACUGGGCGUAAAGCGCACGCAGGCGGUUUGUUAAGUCAGAUGUGAAAUCCCCGGGCUCAACCUGGGAACUGCAUUUGAAACUGGCAAGCUAGAGUCUCGUAGAGGGGGGUAGAAUUCCAGGUGUAGCGGUGAAAUGCGUAGAGAUCUGGAGGAAUACCGGUGGCGAAGGCGGCCCCCUGGACGAAGACUGACGCUCAGGUGCGAAAGCGUGGGGCAGCAAACAGGAUUAGAUACCCUGGUAGUCCAGCGCUGUAAACGAUGUCGAUUUUGGAGGUUGUGCCCUUGAGGCGUGGCUUCCGGAGCUAACGCGUUAAAGUCGACCG
Molecule: ribosomal RNA, 528 nt
Filed under: uncultured bacterium
Lineage: Bacteria
Description: partial 16S ribosomal RNA
Rfam family: Bacterial small subunit ribosomal RNA
Source: RNAcentral